RNAcentral lists this ribosomal RNA (490 nucleotides) under uncultured bacterium. RNAcentral's name for it is "partial 16S ribosomal RNA". It matches the Rfam family "Bacterial small subunit ribosomal RNA", at positions 30 to 507 of the family's 1533-position model. The record is from RNAcentral.
AUUGAACGCUGGCGGCAGGCCUAACACAUGCAAGUCGAACGGUAACAGGGAUCAGCUUGCUGCUUCGCUGACGAGUGGCGGACGGGUGAGUAAUGUCUGGGAAACUGCCUGAUGGAGGGGGAUAACUACUGGAAACGGUAGCUAAUACCGCAUAACGUCGCAAGACCAAAGAGGGGGACCUUCGGGCCUCUUGCCAUCGGAUGUGCCCAGAUGGGAUUAGCUAGUAGGUGGGGUAACGGCUCACCUAGGCGACGAUCCCUAGCUGGUCUGAGAGGAUGACCAGCCACACUGGAACUGAGACACGGUCCAGACUCCUACGGGAGGCAGCAGUGGGGAAUAUUGCACAAUGGGCGCAAGCCUGAUGCAGCCAUGCCGCGUGUAUGAAGAAGGCCUUCGGGUUGUAAAGUACUUUCAGCGGGGAUGAAGGGAGUAAAGUUAAUACCUUUACUGAUUGACGUUACCCGCAGAAGAAGCACCGGCUAACUCCGUG